Molecule: small RNA, 2039 nt
Filed under: Pongo abelii (Sumatran orangutan)
Lineage: Eukaryota; Metazoa; Chordata; Mammalia; Primates; Hominidae
Description: retained intron
Source: RNAcentral
GAGCCCUUUCAAUAAAGAGUUUGUUUCUUUACCGAAAGCAUAAAGGGUAGUGCAAGAAGAGGCACACAGAACCAAGCUUGUGCACUUUCUAAAGUGAAAAACUUUAGAAGGAAUGUCUUGCCUGGCAGGUGCCCUGACGUCCUCCGUGCAUGUCCUCCCCCAACCUCAUGUGUCUCAUGCAGCACUGCAGUGAGGCAGGGUGGAUCCUGCAGGUUCAGAGGGGUUGUGAUCCACCUGAAGUCACAGUCGGGCAGGGUGUGCCAGAGUUGAAACUGCCGACCUUCCAGAUAGAGUUCACUAGUUUCCCCCUGGCAUAUACCUUUUCGGUUGUCAAGGCCAUUAUCACAGAGUCACUUUAGAGGACACUGGGGCUACUGUUGAUGGUUCACCCAGAGAGCCACUUAGAGGCCAUGUGCACUGCCUGAUCUUACACCCAGGAAUUUGUAGUUGUAACAAGGUCCCUGCGGGACUUCCAUUUGCUUCUGUCUUCUGUCCUAGAAGCGGACUUUAGAAAGACUCUUGUGGUAGACAUGUGUACUGCUGUGUUGCUGCUGGCCUAAUGUCUUCAACACAUAUUCUUAGUGACUCUUAACACUUUUAACCUUAGAUUGUGAAUAUUCACAAUUUUACUUGUCAUAGUCUGUUUAUUCUCUUUACCUUCUAUGCUGUUUUUAAAAGCAAUACAAACAGAAGCUAGAGUAACCAGUGUUUUGUCUGACACAUUCUUCUUGAUAAACUUUAUAAGGUGUGGUUUAUAUUCGUCUGUACCUUUAGUCACGUGCCUGCUUCUUAGCACAGAGUUGAUGAAACCACCCACAGCUUUGCUGGGGGUAUUAUAUUUCUGUAUUUUUUUGUUUUUUAGCCCAUCACAACAUUGAUAGCUGAUGUUGAAAUUGCUUGAGCAUCAGGAUACUCAAAGUGGAAAGGAUCACAGAUUUUUGGUAGUUUCUGGGUCUACAAGGACUUUCCAAAUCCAGAGCAACGCCAGUGGCAACGUAGUGACUCAGGCGGGCACCAAGGAAACCGCACCAUUGGUCUCUGGGUAGUGCUUUAAGAAUGAACACAAUCACAUUAUAGUCCAUGGUCCAUCACUAUUCAAGGAUGACUCCCUCCCUUCCUGUCUAUUUUUGUUUUUUACUUGUUUACACUGAGUUUCUAUUUAGACACUACAACAUAUGGGGUGUUUGUUCCCAUUGGAUGCAUUUCUGUCAAAACUCUAUCAAAUGUGAUGGCUAGGUUCUAACAUAUUGCCAUGUGUGGAGUGUGCUAAACACACACCAGUUUACAGGAAAGAUGCAUUUUGUGUACAGUAAACGGUGUAUAUACCUUUUGUUACCACAGAGUUUUUUAAACAAAUGAGUAUUAUAGGACUUUCUUCUAAAUGAGCUAAAUAAGUCACCAUUGACUUCUUGGUGCUGUUGAAAAUAAUCCAUUUUCACUAAAAGUGUGUGAAACCUACAGCAUAUCCUUCGCGCAGAGAUUUUGAUCUAUUAUACUUUAUCAAAGAUUGGCCAUGUUCCACUUGGAAAUGGCAUGCAAAAGCAAUCAUGGAAACCUGUGUAACUCCAUCUGGCAAAUUCAAAAGAGAGAGAGAGAUCUUGAGAGAAAGAAAUGCUGUUCAUUCAAAAGUGGAGUUGUUUUAACAGAGGCCAAUUACGGUGUACAGUUUAACAGAGUUUUCUGUUGCAUUAGGAUAAACAUUAUUUGGAGUGCAGCUAACAUGAAUAUCAUCAGACUAGUAUCAAGUGUUCUAAAAUGAAAUAUGAGAAGAUCCUGUCACAAUUCUUAGAUCUGGUGUCCAGCAUGGAUGAAACCUUUGAGUUUGGUCCCUAAAUUUACAUGAAAGCACAAGGUAAAUAUCCAUUUGCUUUAGGAUUUUCAUGUUGGAUCUGUCAUUAUCAAAAGUGAUCAGCAAUGAAAAACUGGUCGGACAAAAUUUAACACUGACGUAAUGAAAUUCCAGAUGUAGGCAUUCCCCCAGGUCUUUUCAUGUGCAGAUUGCAGUUCUGAUUCAUUUCAAUAAAAAGGAACUUGGAAAA